AUGAACUGCGACAUGGAGGAGAAAGGGAUUGUACUCCGGGAGCUGAGCUGCCAGACUCUCCUCCAUGUCUCCUCCUCCGGACUACGGCGGCAGUCCGGCAGCUCCGGUGGGGGGAGGCAGUCCAGCAGAGAAAGGGAUUGUACUCCCGGAGCUGAGCUGCAGCCAAGUUCCCCCUGCCGGAGCUGCUCGUCCGCUGGUCCACAAAAUCUCUGGCCCUCUCUCAACAGGCUGACCCAAGGCUGCUGUGUGGCGCUGCGGACGCUACUUCCGGGUAGCCGGCUUGGUUUGGUUAGCAGGACGCUUAAGGUCUACCUGCUAUUUUCGGUUUAUAUCUAUUUUUCCGCUAUUUAUAUCUGCGUCCUGUUCUGCAUACUCUGUAUUGUAUUCGCUAUUUCCUCGUUGGAGCUCUGUCUGCAUCAACCAAGGUGGUGGUAUCCUGCCCCUGCGACGAUCAGCAGGCUACUUUCAGCUGUCGUCGCAUCACCCCUGCUCACCUUACAGCUAUGGCAGAUAAGUUACCCCGUUCACUUGCUCCUCUUUGUAACUAUAGGGGUUCUGUAGAGUGCCUUACUGACUUACAGUAAGGCACUUACUUACUUGUAAUUAAAAAACAAUCAUUGAAAAAACCAGCUCCCUGGUUUAAUGCAGAAACGCGCACCCUGAAGCGAAACUGCAGAAUCCUUGAACGCAAAUGGCGCUUGACUAAACUUGAGGACUUUCAUCUUGCAUGGCACAACAGUCUGCUCACCUGCUUACAAGGGUGCACUGACUACUGCCAGAAACGCCUACUCUUCCAGUAUCAAAAACUUGUAUAGAAACAAUCCCAAGUUUCUUUUCGAUACGGUGAAGAGUCUGACUCAGAAACAGACUCGUAGGCAUCUCCCUCUUGGCAGGUCAAUUCAUGGAUUUCUUUGAAAAUAAGAUUAGAGAGGAAAUUUAUGCUUGCCGUGCAACUUGUCCUACACAUCCUGUGGGGCAGGAUGGGGUCUUGCAGAGUAGGAUGGGGAACUCUUGAGCAGAGUUCCCGAUGUCCGCUAAUUACCGUUCUUUGACCGGAAAAAAAUGAGUAGGACCGAAAAUUCUAAAUGUCUCCGGUCAGAAUGACUGAUUGGAAAUAAGGCCCCGUCCACACGGAGCCGAAACGGGCGAAAACAAUCCGGUUUCGUUUUAUGCAGAAUAUUCAAGGCGCUGGUUCUCCACGGAAAAAGUGGAUCGAAUCAACCCUGCGCGCAUACAGCAUGCGCGCUGUAUACAAACAUUCAGUCACAAGGAGAUUCAAACUUUUAAAUUGAGCAGAAAUACUUUUGAAUGCGUUCAUUUGAAUUGUGUUUAAAUAUGCUACAGUGGUCAUUUGUUUAGCAAAUUCAUGUAAAACAAUGAGGGUUUUGAUUGUAGCGUAGCCUGUGUGAUAAAAUAUUUGUUACAUUUCGUGCACUCGCUCAAAUUGAUCGCUAUAGAAUACCCUAGGUUUAUGAAAUAAACGGCGGCAAGCUAGCGAAAACCGGCGGCAAGCUUUGCGGAGUACCGGUAUUUAACAACCAUGGCGAAUCAAAAUAUGAUCACACACUUCUUCUUCUUCUUCUUUAUACAGCCUGCCUAUCAAUUUUCUUAAGUGCAAUAAACUCGGACGAUAUUUUUUUCCAAUUUGACCGGUAAAAUGAAACCUUCCCGGUCACAUGACCGGCACCAAUUUCUUCUAGCGGAAACACUG
This 1711-nucleotide long non-coding RNA is filed under the name Gadus morhua (Atlantic cod). Its description in RNAcentral is "lncRNA (ENSGMOG00000028300.1)". The record is from RNAcentral. Lineage: Eukaryota; Metazoa; Chordata; Actinopteri; Gadiformes; Gadidae.